AGUGUCAAAUCAAGCUCUGAAGGAAUUACACAAUUUCAAACUAUUCAAGUAAAAAUGAGUUAAGACCUGGCUCUGGUUAACUCAUGAACAAAAGGGUAACAAGCAGUGAGCGACUCCCACUAGAGUCCUCCUGUUUUGCAAGUGAAAAAGAAAAUUAAAUAACUGGAAUUAUUCUCUGUCGCUCUGAAUCACAUGCCUUGUUCAGGAACUUUAGAAAACCCGAAGGGCAAACAGCUCUGAAACCACUUGCAAAUGAUCUCAGGCUGUGUGACUUGUGCAGUGACUGCGUGCGUAAGCUAGCUGCCUUCUUCAUGUGAUAACCCACCAGCGAAUAAAGAAAGCUUCAGAGAAUACUUAAGAGCAGAGGUAUGGUGGAGCGGGGGCACUUAUCAUUGCCAUCAGCGCAGCCUGAGCCUUCACACCCAGCCUGACCCGCGCUCGGGAAAACUGAAGGAUAUUCACAGAACUGACCUCGUUCCAGCAGCCAGUCUGGGGAGAAGGUGGCUCUGGGCGCAUAUCAGCUCAAGAUCGGCGAGGCCAGUCUCUGCAUCUGCAAGAGCUGCUCCCUGCAGACUCAGGGAUGUGACCAGGCAGCCUGGGUCCUGGACAGCCCUCUCCUUCUGCAUGUCCAGGGGAAGUCACCCAGCCUCUCUGCGGCUGCAUUUCCUUACCUGUAAAGUGCAAACAGAGCUAGUCGCUGCCUCACCAGUUGCUGUGAGAUUUGAACAUGCUGGCAUGGGUAAUGAGGUCGGAAGUCUCUGGAACAUAGGGCCCUUCAGUGCAGGUUGCACAGGACACCGUGCGGCAGUGCUGGAGACCUCAGCCUCUGCUGCAGCAGCUGCUCCCGGGUCUCCCGUCUCUGGCCAGCCCCUGGGGCCUUGACCUGGUCCAACUCUGCCGUGCAAUGAAGCUGACAACCUCCUGACGCUGUAUGGCUCACCCCUGCCCAGAACACCUCUCUCUGCUCCCUGAUCCCUUGAGGAGAAGAAGAGAUUUCUGUCUGGUCCUUCACAUCUACUCCUGAGUCUCGGCCAAGCAGUCCCGCAGGCAGCUCUGAGGAACCCCUGCAGCAGCAACCUACAGACCCCCAGGAUGCAACACUGGCUUCUCCUGCUCCCUCUCUGUCUCUUGGCCCUUCCUAGCAACACACCUUCACUGGCCUGGAGCCCACCUUGUACCUCCAGGUAGCACACACACACCCUCACCUGCCUGAGACCUGCACCUGAGCUGCACACCUCUCUGUUUCUAUUUUUACUUUUCAGGCUUGGUUACUGUGCCUUCAUGCUCAGUCCUGCCCCCAGGACCUGCCCCACCUUCUUGCACCGAGCUCCUGCUGCUGGUGACCGAUGGUGGCCCGUGGUGGGGGUGCCACCAUCAGCAACAGCAGAGAAGCUGAGCCCUAUGGGAAGCUGUGGCCUCAGGACCCUGCCCUACUGAACCCGUUCUCAAGGCCCAGCACAGUCCCCUCCAGGAUGACCUGCCAGGCCUGGAGAAGAACCUGCUGCUGGAAAGUCUUCCAAGAGCUGCGAGAGUCGGAAGACCACCCAGCCUGUCAGCAAGUGGUUCUGGGGUUCCCACUGUGGUGCAGGAGAGACUCCAGAGGAGGGCAGAUGGCAGUCUCCUCUCUGGAGCUCCGUGGGCCUCACGGUUCCCACACGGGCAUCAUGUGGGUGUUCAGUGGAGAAGAAAGGCCGUCAGGAUGCUCUCAGGGCUGAGGGUCAGAGGUAAGCCCCCGCCCACUGUCGUGGUCCAUUGCGUCUGUGAAACACCCAUGGCUGUUGUGUGCACCCGUGGCAUUUCUAGGGCACACUGCCUGCCGGAGUGCACAUUCCUUGGAAGUUGUCAGUGGUGUAACUGAGGGUGCCCACGGGCUCUCUCCCCAAUCUGCCACCCCUCCUCUGAGCCCCGUGCCUUGCCCAGCAGUUUAGGGAGUCAUCUGUGAGAUGGGGUGAGCUGAGACCUCCUGUAGCUUCCCUGCCUAACCCAUAGGAGUGCCAGGCCCACAGGAAGGGGCCUGUGGGCAUUCGCAGAAUCGUGCACCUGGUCCCCCAGGCCUCUUUCCAAGUCAGAUUCUUCCCAGACCAGUGUCAGCCCAUAGAACUUGAAUGUGGGCCACGUGUAUCAUUUUACACUUUCUAGGAGCUAUGCUACAGCAAAAAGAAACACAUGAAAUUAACCUCAGUAAUAUGUUUUAUGUAUAUCAAAGCCAUUAUCAAUUUCAAUGAUAGUCGGUAUAAAAUUAUUAAUAAGGUUUUUUUUUUUGGCUUGCACGGAAUCUGUGAAAUCCAGUGCAUGUUUUGCACUGCAACAUGUCUCGACGUGGAAUUGUCACCCCUCAGGUGCUCAGCAGACACACGUGGCUGCAGCUGCUGCCGGAGGCAGCAGGUCUAGCCUCCCGCAGGCCUGGGGGUGACUGCACAGGGGUGGGGCUGGCUCGGGAGGCAGGCGGCAGUGAUGCCAUCGUGCCACAAGUCAUAAAGCAAGCCGCCUCUGGGGCUGUACUGCCGCAGCCCCUUCCUCUGUCCCACAGUCCUCCUCACUUGCCUCCCCACCAGCUCUGUCUCUUGUGUGCAGCACGCGCAGUGGGAACAAAAGGGACUGGGUGAGGACUUUGAGAUGUGUGCGCAGCUGUCACGGACCAUCUGGCUGCCCUGGAGUCCCUCUAACCCCACACCCAGCCGAGCCCCAUUACCUGCAGAGAGCCCACCUGUCAGCGUGAUAAAGGUUAGGGAUGGCUGAGGUCCAUGACUGUAUCCACGCUAUGGCUUCUGAAGACCUGCAGCCUUCCACUAAUUCAGGCUGUCUUUUCUGGGGCACUGGAGAUACGUACAGAUUGGCAAUUCAAUGUGAGCUCAUUUUAUUAGAAAUAACCAACCGUAUGGCACUUAGUGAUGCGUCAACGUGCCUUCU
This is a non-coding RNA of Manis javanica (Malayan pangolin), 2910 nucleotides long. The record is from RefSeq and is a predicted model, not a curated record. NCBI's taxonomy places the organism in Eukaryota, Metazoa, Chordata, Mammalia, Pholidota, Manidae.